CGCCGCCUUCACCUUUUGCUCUCUCACCCACUUCAUCCCCUUCAUCGGCAUCUGUUGAUUCUGUGCCUUCAAGACCCAGCAACGCGUUUCUUCGGGGAACCAGCUUCUUCAUGCUACCUUCACCCAUUUUGGCGGCUGCUGCCAUGCUUCUUCUCUGAGCCAAGACAGACUCAUUCACUCAACUCUGUGUAGGCUUGAAUCAAUAACUGAGACAUGUUUUUUGUUCUGUUCUUUGUAAGCUUGGAUAAUUGAUUGCUAUUUGCUAAUUGGAAAAAGUUGCUUUAAU
Molecule: long non-coding RNA, 286 nt
Filed under: Vigna radiata
Lineage: Eukaryota; Viridiplantae; Streptophyta; Magnoliopsida; Fabales; Fabaceae
Description: long non-coding RNA (VRAD_LNC011624)
Source: RNAcentral